Molecule: long non-coding RNA, 5549 nt
Filed under: Chlamydomonas reinhardtii
Lineage: Eukaryota; Viridiplantae; Chlorophyta; Chlorophyceae; Chlamydomonadales; Chlamydomonadaceae
Description: long non-coding RNA (CREI_LNC001383)
Source: RNAcentral
GGCGGCUGUGGGACUUCCUGCACAGCGCGUCUUGCAGCGGACUGGAGCCCGCUUAGUCAGCGCCACAUCCGGCCCGCUUAGUUUUCUGCUUGUGUCUCCUCUGCCGGUUCUCCUGGGGUGUUGCUUAAGCAACCGACUUGUGGGGGUGGGGUGGGUUUGGGCGGGGCGAGUGCGUAGCGCUGGUGUUUUCUUUUCUGGCGCGCGGUGGUGGUGGUUCUUGCGGUUAGGCUGUGGUGUAGGUUGGUGCUUGGGUUAGGUCCGGCGGUGUUUUUGUGCAACCCCUCCCGGGGGGCGGGGGGGCCAGCCUCCUGCUCUGUCUGCCGGGUCGGGGUGGGGUGCGGUGGGAUGGAUGGGGGUGGUUGGUGGCGGUUUUCGAGGUGUUUGCUUUCUGUUUUCUUCUCUUUUCUUCUCUUCUUGCCCUGUCAGGGUUCUGGUCUCGGGGACCAGGCUGCUUUCAGGCAGCAGGGGGGCAGCGCGUCUGCCCCUGUUCAACCUUGUAAGGAUGAUUCCUCAAAAAAAAAAAGCCACUGACGUCCUUUCUGCGGCGGCAGGUGGAGCAAGGGGCACUGCGCACGCCCCUGUUACCCAGCGGCGAGCAGGCGCCGCCUGCUGCCCACCACGCUGACGACACGACCCUCACGGCGCGCGACCCGGCGGUGGACGGGCCGGUCCUGAUGGCGGCAGUACAGCUGUUCUGCCGCGCGUCCAACGCCCGUGUCCAUCCGGACAAGAGCAAGGCCAUGGGCCUUGGCAGGUUUGCGCACCUGACGGGCCCUUGCCCACACACGGGGGUGCCGUUUACCACUGGCGCCGUGACGCACCUGGGUGUGCCCCUGUCGUGGGACUCGGAUGCGGCUGCAGCUGACUUGUACACCCGGCGGGCUCGCGGCAUGGCGUUUGUGGCGCGUCUGUGGGCUGCCCUGUCUCUGACUCUCGUUGGCCGUGUGCACAUUGCGAAGCAGGUGCUGGCGGCGAAGCUGGCCUACCACUUCAGCUUCCUCAACCCGUCGCCUGCGCAGCUGAAGGAGCUCACCGACCUGAUGGACCACUUUGCUGCGCGCUCCAUGCACGCUGAGGACGCCAGCCUGGUGUCGCACGGGAACCCGCUCCUGCUGCCAAAGCGGGAAACGGCAUGUCUGCCGUACAAGGACGGGGGUGUCAACCACGUCGACCUGCCUGCGUUCCUGUCUGCCCUGCAAGCUAAGACUUUCGCCCUCCUUGCCCAGCCAGGCCGGCAACCCUGGAAGAUGCUCACCCGGGCGCUGCUUACCCAUGUGCGCCCAGACUCCGCCACCACGUGGGCGUGGGUGUACAGCGACGCGCCGGCGCCAGCGGGGCUGCCUGCCCGGCUGGCGGCCGCGGUCGGCCACGUGCGGAGCGCGGGUGUGGAACAGCAUCCGCCGCAGCCAGCCACUCAGCCGCCAGCGGCGCCGCCACAGUGGCGGGUUAGCCUGGACCAGCUGUGGGUGGCUAACGCUGCGGGGGCUGUGUCCUACGUCCACUACACGGGGCGGCUCUUGGAGCCUGGGCCUGGCGUGCUGCCCCCGGCAGUGGAUGGGGCGUGGCAGCCUGCCUGUGUGCUGCAGCACCGCAAGCCGCGGCACCUGUGGACCUUUGAAGAGCGGGCGGCGUACGAUGCAGCAUCACCAGGGGAACGGGCAGGGGCGUGGCCUCGGGCGCCGUACUUCCUGGCGCCGGAGGCUGGGGUGGUGGUGCACCCGGAGCACUGCCGGAUUGCGGGUGUCAGCUUGGCGGACUACACGGUGCGGGACGUGCGGCGGGCCAUCACCGCGGCCAACCCGGCCGCCCCUCUGGCUCCGGCCCGCCCCGCAGCCAUGCCGUGCCCGGCGCCAGCACAGCAGGCGGGGGGUUCGGGGACCCAGCCGGCGGCACAGUCGCGGCUGGCGGAGCGGGAGGCGGAGUGGCAGCGUGCAGCGGCGCAGCUGACCACCACGGCGGCGCAGCACUUCCACAAUAACCCGGUGGCUCUGGACCCCUGGCUCCACCGCACCUCCGCGGCAGCCGGGCAGCAGAACACGCCGGCGAGAACACUGCAGUCGUAUGCGUCCCCGUCCCAGCAGUCGGGUGAGGGGCCGCGGCGGUCCGCGCGGNNNNNNNNNNNNNNNNNNNNNNNNNNNNNNNNNNNNNNNNNNNNNNNNNNNNNNNNNNNNNNNNNNNNNNNNNNNNNNNNNNNNNNNNNNNNNNNNNNNNUGAAAGCUCUCCAGUUGCAGGCCCAGAGCUCCAGCCUUGUACCCCAGAGACUCCCUGCACCACAGGGGGGGUCUACACACCACCAAGGUGCGGAUGGGUUUUGGUAAACCAGGGCCCUUCCUGGUGGGGUGACCGGGAUUCAAGGCCUGAUCGAAUGGAUGCGCCUGGACGUGGGCGCGGACGGCACGCCACGGCAGGGUGGUGCGCUGUACUUCUUGGACAUUGAAAAGGCGUAUGACCGGGUGCACCGGCAGUGGCUGUAUGCGUCCGCGGAGGGACUUGGGUUUGGGCCGCGCAUGCUGCGAUGGAUCCGCCUGCUCACUGCCAACGGCUCUGCCCGCGUGUGUGUGAACGGGAUGCUCUCUGACGCCUUCCCAGUGCUGAACGGCUUGCCGCAGGGCAGCACCGCCUCACCACCCCUGUGGGUCAUCCAGAUGCAGCCACUGACGUCCUUUCUGCGGCGGCAGGUGGAGCAAGGGGCACUGCGCACGCCCCUGUUACCCAGCGGCGAGCAGGCGCCACCGGCUGCCCACCACGCUGACGACACGACCCUCACGGCGCGCGACCCGGCGGUGGACGGGCCGGUCCUGAUGGCGGCAGUACAGCUGUUCCAGGCUGCCUUGGCAGUAGGGUGGUAGUGCGUCUACCACCGCAACCUUGUAAGGAUGACUUUUAAAAAAAAAAAGCUGUUCUGCCGCGCGUUCAACGCCCGUGUCCAUCCGGACAAGAGCAAGGCCAUGGGCCUUGGCAGGUUUGCGCACCUGACGGGCCCUUGCCCACACACGGGGGUGCCGUUUACCACUGGCGCCGUGACGCACCUGGGUGUGCCCCUGUCGUGGGACUCGGAUGCGGCUGCAGCUGACUUGUACACCCGGCGGGCUCGCGGCAUGGCGUUUGUGGCGCGUCUGUGGGCUGCCCUGUCUCUGACUCUCGUUGGCCGUGUGCACAUUGCGAAGCAGGUGCUGGCGGCGAAGCUGGCCUACCACUUCAGCUUCCUCAACCCGUCGCCUGCGCAGCUGAAGGAGCUCACCGACCUGAUGGACCACUUUGCUGCGCGCUCCAUGCACGCUGAGGACGCCAGCCUGGUGUCGCACGGGAACCCGCUCCUGCUGCCAAAGCGGGAAACGGCAUGUCUGCCGUACAAGGACGGGGGUGUCAACCACGUCGACCUGCCUGCGUUCCUGUCUGCCCUGCAAGCUAAGACUUUCGCCCUCCUUGCCCAGCCAGGCCGGCAACCCUGGAAGAUGCUCACCCGGGCGCUGCUUACCCAUGUGCGCCCAGACUCCGCCACCACGUGGGCGUGGGUGUACAGCGACGCGCCGGCGCCAGCGGGGCUGCCUGCCCGGCUGGCGGCCGCGGUCGGCCACGUGCGGAGCGCGGGUGUGGAACAGCAUCCGCCGCAGCCAGCCACUCAGCCGCCAGCGGCGCCGCCACAGUGGCGGGUUAGCCUGGACCAGCUGUGGGUGGCUAACGCUGCGGGGGCUGUGUCCUACGUCCACUACACGGGGCGGCUCUUGGAGCCUGGGCCUGGCGUGCUGCCCCCGGCGGUGGAUGGGGCGUGGCAGCCUGCCUGUGUGCUGCAGCAUCGCAAGCCGCGGCACCUGUGGACCUUUGAAGAGCGGGCAGCGUACGAUGCAGCAUCACCAGGGGAACGGGCGGGGGCGUGGCCUCGGGCGCCGUACUUCCUGGCACCGGUGGCUGGGGUGGUGGUGCACCCGGAGCACUGCCGGAUUGCGGGUGUCAGCUUGGCGGACUACACGGUGCGGGACGUGCGGCGGGCCAUCACCGCGGCUAACCCGGCCGCACCACCGGCGCCGGCCCGCCCUGCAGCCAUGCCGUGCCCAGCGCCAGCACAGCAGGCGGGGGGUUCGGGGACCCAGCCGGCGGCACAGUCGCGGCUGGUGGAGCGGGAGGCGGAGUGGCAGCGUGCAGCGGCGCAGCUGACCACCACGGCGGCGCAGCAUUUCCGCAAUAACCCGGUGGCUCUGGACCCCUGGCUCCACCGCACCUCUGCGGCAGCCGGGCUGCAGAACUGCAGUCGUAUGCGUCCCCGUCCCAGCAGUCAGGUGAGGGGCCGCGGCGGUCCGCGCGGCUGCAGGAGCAGGCGGCGGGCAGGGCGGGGCCUAGCACGGGGCCUGCCACGGCGGCGGCGGCAGCAGCGGCGGCAGUGGAGGGCGACCCUCGCAUGCCGCCCCCGGAUGCGUCCCUUCUGCGGGGUACGUGGCGGAGGCUGUGGGACAGCCACGCCAGUCGGGGGGCGAAGGUACUUGUGUACCGGCUGCAACAUGCUUACCUGCCUUGCGGGCUGUACAGGGCGGGCAAGGGAAUUCGUCCACGGGUGACCACGGGGUGCGGGGGGUUGGGGGCGCACUGUCCUCACCCCGCCUGCGGGCCACCUGGCCCGCGGGCGUGGGCCAGCCUGACGCACAUCUUCCUGGAGUGUCCAGCGUAUGCGCAGGCGAGGACGUGGCUGCAGCAGCUGUGGGCCUGUGUUGCGCCCCAGGCAGCGGCGCCGCCAGUGACGGACGCGGGCUUCAUGCUGGGGGACCGCAUGGGUAUGUGGGCCUCAGGCCCGCGGGGGGCGGGAGCGCUGCUGUGGAGCACUUUGCGGGCCACCUUCUUGUACGCCGUCUGGUGUGCGUACUGGUCCCGCGAGCCUGCUAAGCAGACGUCGGAGCAUGUGGUUCGGGAGGUGGUCAGCGAGCUGCGCAGGGUGAUGCGGCUGCGUUUCACUGCCGCCACGCUAACCCCUGAAACCCUGUCGGCUCUGCCCACUCAGCUUCUCACCGCACAGCUCAAGGCGGCUAAGCUGGAGCAUUUUGUUGCCAUCUGGACGGCGGGUGGCGCGCUUUGUGAAGUGGAGGAGGUUCAGGGUGGGUCACCGAAGUUGAACUUGCGGCUGACGCUUGCAUCACCUGUGCAGGCCCCCUAGAUUUCCUUCUGGGCAGCAUUUCUUUCCAGGCGCUGGCGUGGCGUAUUAUCGUCAUCAGCUUGUCUGGCGCCCAUGAGUACUAGCUCUGGCUGGAGUGGAAGCGCCUGGGCGGCUGUGGGACUUCCUGCGCAGCGCGUCUUGCAGCGGACUGGAGCCCACUUAGUCAGCGCCACAUCUGGCCCGUUUAGUUUUCUGCUUGUGUCUCCUCUGCCGGUUCUCCUGGGGUGUUGCUUAAGCAACCGACUUGUGGGGGUGGGGUGGGUUUGGGCGGGGCGAGUGCGUAACGCUGGUGUUUUCUUUUCUGGCGCGCGGUGGUGGUGGUUCUUGUGGUUAGGCUGUGGUGUAGGGUGGUGCUUGGGUUAGGUCUGGCGGUGUUUUUGUGCAACCCCUCCCGGGGGGCGGGGGG